This 1380-nucleotide ribosomal RNA is filed under the name Triticum aestivum (bread wheat). Its description in RNAcentral is "partial small subunit ribosomal RNA". The record is from RNAcentral. Lineage: Eukaryota; Viridiplantae; Streptophyta; Magnoliopsida; Poales; Poaceae.
AUGGCCGCAGUAACGAGGCCACAGCUGGAAGCGCGGGCGCGGGAGCUCGGGGUCGACCUCACCGCCGUCGACCUGGACUCCAUCACUCUCCCCGCCGACGCCGGCGACUUUCCCUGCAGCAACGAUGAUGAUGAUGAUGAUGAUGAUGAGGUACUGCUACUUGAGAGCGAUGUUGGCCCUCCUCCGGAGCUCGAGACAGGUUUCGGGAACGUGAUCAUUGUCGACAAUCUGCCAAUUGUUCCGGCGGAGAAAUUCGAGAGGCUGCAGUGUGUCAUGCGCGCAAUCUAUGGCCAAAUUGGUGUCAUCAAGGAAGGCGGUCUAUGGAUUCCUAUACUCUACACCACCUACGGCUACUGCUUCAUCGAAUACGCUACUCCUAAGGAAGCAGAGCUUGCGAGGCGAAAAACCAACCUUUAUGCGCUGGACAGGUUUCACAAGUUCCAGGUUAACAUGUUCGAUGACUUUGACAAGUACAUCAAAGUCCCUGACCAAUGGACGCUUCCUGAUGAAAUCAAGCAAUACACACCUGCGCCUAACUUGCACAAGUGGCUAAUGGAUGGGAAGGCGAGAGACCAGUUUGUCAUCCGUGUCGGUACGUCUACCGAGGUGUACUGGAAUGAUGUUGUGCCUGAACUUGCCUACCAAAAGCAGCGAUGGACCGAUAGUUUUGUUGAGUGGUCUCCUCUUGGUACAUACUUGGCGACGGUGCAUAGGCAAGGUGCACAGGUCGUUAGUGGUUGCAAAAUGUAUUGGCAAAACAAUGGAGAGUAUCUUGCCGUCCAGGUAGAUCGGCACGCAGAAGCGGAGAGGAGAACUUGUUGCACUAGUUUGGAGCUGUUCAGGAUCAAGGAGAGGGGCAUCCCGAGGGAGGUCUUUGAAUUGGACAAGAAGAAUGACAACAUAGUUGCCUUUGCGUGGGAGCCAAGAGGCAGCCGGUUUGCUGUUAUCCACAGCGAUGGGUUUAAGCAUGACAUAAGCUUCUACUCGAUGCACUCAGCCGACGAUGUUAGCCGUGUGUCGAAGCUCACAACACUCAAGGACAGGCAAGCUGAUGCACUGUUCUGGUCUCCUGCGGGGAAUUGUACGUACAAUGUGGAUGAUCUUGAGACCAUGGCCACAAGAGAGCAUCCUAUGGCGACUGAUGUCAUGUGGGAUCCCACUGGAAGAUUCAUCGCAACUGCAUCACUCGGCCAUGAGAUGGGAAACGAUAUUCGAGUUUGGUCUUUUACUGGCAAGCAGAUUUACAAGGCGUCCAAGGAACAGUUUUCCCAGUUCCAAUGGCGCCCAAGGCCACCUUCACUUCUUACUCCUGCGAAGGAGAUGGAAAUCUCAACUCAACCUACAGAGAAGGCUGAGUUGCUGGUAAGUGCAAGUAGCUGA